GUUGAGGCUCAGUGGUAAAGCACUUGCCUGGCACGUAUAAGGCACUGGGUUCGAUCCCCAGUAACA
This 66-nucleotide transfer RNA is filed under the name Marmota monax (woodchuck). RNAcentral's name for it is "tRNA.Ala". It matches the Rfam family "tRNA". Rfam says of the family: Transfer RNA (tRNA) molecules are approximately 80 nucleotides in length. The record is from RNAcentral. Lineage: Eukaryota; Metazoa; Chordata; Mammalia; Rodentia; Sciuridae.